This 243-nucleotide unclassified non-coding RNA is filed under the name Hevea brasiliensis (rubber tree). The record is from RNAcentral. Lineage: Eukaryota; Viridiplantae; Streptophyta; Magnoliopsida; Malpighiales; Euphorbiaceae.
CCUUAAAUGGUCACUAAUUGACCACUAGAAUGUCCAUUAAUCAAUUCAAAUGCCAAGUCCAAUUUUCACCCUUAAAACCCUAAUUUCUCAUUGCAAUUCACCCAUACACCUUAGUUACACACUUCCAUUCAUUAUAUAUGUGUUUAUACACUUUAAACAUAAGCUAUAAUUCAUUGUAAGUCCAUCAACAACACUCAAUCCUAUUCCUUCCUUAGGGCAGCUGAAAUCCAUGGUAUGUAUACA